RNAcentral lists this ribosomal RNA (292 nucleotides) under uncultured eukaryote. RNAcentral describes it as "partial 18S ribosomal RNA". It matches the Rfam family "Eukaryotic small subunit ribosomal RNA", at positions 6 to 299 of the family's 1831-position model. The record is from RNAcentral.
GGUUGAUCCUGCCAGUAGUCAUAUGCUUGUCUCAAGGACUAAGCCAUGCAUGUCUAAGUAUAUCUGUAUGUACGAGAAACUGCGAAUGGCUCAAUAAAUCAGCUAUAAUUCCAUUGAUGGUGCUUGCUACUCGGAUACCCGUAGUAAAUCUAGAGCUAAUACGUGCGUGAAGGGGUGAUGAUUUUAUCAGAGCCUUGCAUUUAUCAGAUCCAAGACCAACUGAGCUUCUGCUCAUUUUGUGUUGAUUCAUGAUAACUUUGCGAAUCGCGAUUUUACAUCGCGAUGUUUCAAU